RNAcentral lists this transfer RNA (67 nucleotides) under Marmota monax (woodchuck). RNAcentral describes it as "tRNA.Ala". Lineage: Eukaryota; Metazoa; Chordata; Mammalia; Rodentia; Sciuridae. The record is from RNAcentral.
GGAUGUAGCUCAGUGAUAAAGUGUUUGCCUAGCAUGCAUGAGGCCCUGGGUUCAAUCUUCAGCACCA